Molecule: ribosomal RNA, 274 nt
Filed under: uncultured bacterium
Lineage: Bacteria
Description: partial 16S ribosomal RNA
Rfam family: Bacterial small subunit ribosomal RNA
Source: RNAcentral
AUACGGAGGGGGCUAGCGUUGUUCGGAAUUACUUGGCGUAAAGCGCGCGUAGGCGGAUUGAUCAGUCAGGGGUGAAAUCCCGAGGCUUAACCUCGGAACUGCCUUUGAUACUGUCAAUCUUGAGUUCGAGAGAGGUGAGUGGAAUUCCUAGUGUAGAGGUGAAAUUCGUAGAUAUUAGGAAGAACACCAGUGGCGAAGGCGGCUCACUGGCUCGAUACUGACGCUGAGGUGCGAAAGCGUGGGGAGCAAACAGGAUUAGAAACCCUAGUAGUCC